GCUCGGGUGGCGAAAUUGGUAGACGCGUGCGCUUGAGGGGCGUAUGGAGCAAUCCAUGGGGGUUCGAGUCCCCCCUCGAGCA
Molecule: transfer RNA, 82 nt
Filed under: bacterium
Lineage: Bacteria
Also listed under: 2 other names
Description: tRNA-Leu
Rfam family: tRNA
About the family: Transfer RNA (tRNA) molecules are approximately 80 nucleotides in length.
Source: RNAcentral